Molecule: transfer RNA, 71 nt
Organism: Toxocara canis (dog roundworm)
Lineage: Eukaryota; Metazoa; Nematoda; Chromadorea; Rhabditida; Toxocaridae
Rfam family: tRNA
About the family: Transfer RNA (tRNA) molecules are approximately 80 nucleotides in length. Their secondary structure includes four short double-helical elements and three loops (D, anti-codon, and T loops). Further hydrogen bonds mediate the characteristic L-shaped molecular structure. tRNAs have two regions of fundamental functional importance: the anti-codon, which is responsible for specific mRNA codon recognition, and the 3' end, to which the tRNAs corresponding amino acid is attached (by aminoacyl-tRNA synthetases). tRNAs cope with the degeneracy of the genetic code in two manners: having more than one tRNA (with a specific anti-codon) for a particular amino acid; and 'wobble' base-pairing, i.e. permitting non-standard base-pairing at the 3rd anti-codon position.
Source: Rfam
GCGGCAAUAGCUCAGUGGUAGAGCCUCCGCUUCGCAUACGGGAGACCUAGGUUUGAUUCCCGGCUGCUUCC